CGAGACCUGGUGGGACAGGCUCAAGCUCUGAACUGCCCCGACGGGCGGCUGUGAUCCCCGGUUGCACAAGAGCCACUGUUCUCCAUCGUAAGUCAAGUUCGGCCUUUCUUCUUGCUCGCAUUUCGGCACGCAUCUUGAUGAAGGGUGACACCUAGAAAUAAAUUAAGGCAACGCCGAAUCCCUGGCCUCCCCGCUCUCUUGCCGGUAGCUAAUGUCCCCCCAUUAACAGGAACAGACUGUGCUUGCCCGUGCAGUGCCCGACGGGGCCAGCAGGGGUCUGACAUUCGUUGCUUUUAACCCACAGGGGCCGACUCGGUGGUGAUGCUUCGGGAAGGAAAUCGGAUUGAGACGCUAACAGCCAUGGUUUGAGAUAGCAGACCUCUUAGAAAAGACAUUCAUAAAGGGAGCGACCUUAAUCCAGGAACUUAGACCAUCCAGAUUUCCUUCUGAAGCAAUCCACAGAUUGCCGUUCAGCCCCUAAAGAAGAUGCGGCCACCUCUUCCAGACAGAGGGAAGUCCACAUUUGUAACCAUCACUGCAGCCCGAGGGGCUAGGACCUGUCUCCUAGGACCAGCCGAGGACAAGCACGGAGAGCCCAGCUGGCCCGCACGGACACAGCCACACGGAGCUGGCGGUGGCCUCUGUCCCCAGGUCGCCUGGCCCACCGUGGUCACAGCCCCCUGGGGCGCCAACCACAGGACGCCUCCCUGUGGCACAAAGGGGU
This 724-nucleotide long non-coding RNA is filed under the name Vulpes vulpes (red fox). RNAcentral describes it as "lncRNA (ENSVVUG00000007008.1)". Lineage: Eukaryota; Metazoa; Chordata; Mammalia; Carnivora; Canidae. The record is from RNAcentral.